AAUAUUGUUAACAUACUAAAAUAAUAAUAAGUAAAAAUAAGUCUAUAAUAAAUACCGUAGAUGGGGGUAACUAAAGCCUACUGGGAAACUAAAGCCAUUAUAGCAGGUAAUUUUUGGAUGGUAAUAGUAGCAGCACUGUUUGGAUUCAACAGCUGAUGUUGUGUUCUUCUAAUAGGAACUUGGACUGCUUUCCAAAUACUUGUCUGGAUUAUUAAAACAAUAUCACGGACUAAAAAUGCCUCGAAACCCAAAGAAGAAGCUUGGUAGCCGGAAGUAUAAGGAUUACACAGAUGAAACGGAGAUACCAGUAGAUCUAUAACUUGAAGAAACAACUUAUGACGAACCCCCCAAAAUAGGAGUCUCUAAAGGAGAACUUAAACCUGAUAUUUACGUCAUUGUUGAGAUCAUCUUUGAUAAGAACACAAAAAAAGAAACCACCAAACAGUUCUAUGGAGUCAUUCUUAGAACUUGUUUUGAGAAGAACGAAGUUACAGUAAAGUUUUUCAGAAGAAGCUCCAAAUCAAAAGGAAAUGACUAUAUAUUUCCAAAUGUUGAUGACGAAAUGGACAUUCAGUUAACAGACGUCAUUUCAAUUGUGAAACCAUCCAAAGUAAACAGAGGACGUUAUACUUUUCCUUAUGAACUACCGGUAAAGCACUGAUUUCAACAAGACCUAUUUUAAAUAAUAUUUUUGUCUCUUUUUAAUGUUUUUCUUAAAUAAGCUUUUUUCUUGUCAA
Hydra vulgaris (swiftwater hydra) is the source of this 737-nucleotide non-coding RNA. Lineage: Eukaryota; Metazoa; Cnidaria; Hydrozoa; Anthoathecata; Hydridae. The record is from RefSeq and is a predicted model, not a curated record.